This 497-nucleotide ribosomal RNA is filed under the name uncultured bacterium. RNAcentral describes it as "partial 16S ribosomal RNA". It matches the Rfam family "Bacterial small subunit ribosomal RNA", at positions 28 to 507 of the family's 1533-position model. The record is from RNAcentral.
GAUGAACGCUGGCGGCGUGCCUAAUACAUGCAAGUCGAGCGAACAGAUGAUGAGCUUGUUCCUCUGACGUUAGCGGCGGACGGGCGAGUAACACGUGGAUAACCUACCUAUAAUACUGGGAUAACUUCGGGAAACCGGAGCUAAUACCGGAUAAUAUAUUGAACCGCAUGGUUCAAUAGUGAAAGACGGUUUUGCUGUCACUUAUAGAUGGAUCCGCGCCGCAUUAGCUAGUUGGUAAGGUAACGGCUUACCAAGGCAACGAUGCGUAGCCGACCUGAGAGGGUGAUCAGCCACACUGGAACUGAGACACGGUCCAGACUCCUACGGGAGGCAGCAGUAGGGAAUAUUCCGCAAUGGGCGAAAGCCUGACGGAGCAACGCCGCGUGAGUGAUGAAGGUCUUCGGAUCGUAAAACUCUGUUAUUAGGGAAGAACAAAUGUGUAAGUAACUAUGCACGUCUUGACGGUACCUAAUCAGAAAGCCACGGCUAACUACGUG